Molecule: ribosomal RNA, 433 nt
Filed under: uncultured bacterium
Lineage: Bacteria
Description: partial 16S ribosomal RNA
Rfam family: Bacterial small subunit ribosomal RNA
Source: RNAcentral
AACGAACGCUGGCGGCAGGCCUAACACAUGCAAGUCGAGCGCGCCCUUCGGGGUGAGCGGCGGACGGGUGAGUAACGCGUGGGAACGUGCCCUUUUCUACGGAAUAGCCUCGGGAAACUGAGAGUAAUACCGUAUACGCCCUUUGGGGGAAAGAUUUAUCGGAAAAGGAUCGGCCCGCGUUGGAUUAGGUAGUUGGUGGGGUAAUGGCCUACCAAGCCGACGAUCCAUAGCUGGUUUGAGAGGAUGAUCAGCCACACUGGGACUGAGACACGGCCCAGACUCCUACGGGAGGCAGCAGUGGGGAAUCUUAGACAAUGGGGGCAACCCUGAUCUAGCCAUGCCGCGUGAGUGAUGAAGGCCUUAGGGUUGUAAAGCUCUUUCAGCUGGGAAGAUAAUGACGGUACCAGCAGAAGAAGCCCCGGCUAACCCCGUG